AUUUAGAUAGUUUAUAUUUUAGAAUAAUAGUUUGUGGUACUAUAGGAGUAACUUUAACUCUAAAUU
This 66-nucleotide transfer RNA is filed under the name Opistholeptus burmanus. RNAcentral's name for it is "tRNA-His". Lineage: Eukaryota; Metazoa; Arthropoda; Insecta; Hemiptera; Pachygronthidae. The record is from RNAcentral.